This 624-nucleotide ribosomal RNA is filed under the name uncultured marine eukaryote. RNAcentral's name for it is "SSU rRNA". It matches the Rfam family "Eukaryotic small subunit ribosomal RNA", at positions 613 to 1240 of the family's 1831-position model. The record is from RNAcentral.
UUGUGGUUAAAAAGCUCGUAGUUGGAUCUCGGCGGACUGAGGGCGGUUUGCUUGCUAGUAUUACUGCCCUAUAGUCCGUAGUUUUGCCAGAGGUUUCGGGGUGCUCUUAAUCGAGUGUCCCGGGAUGCUGGCAGGUUUACUUUGAAAAAAUUAGAGUGCUCAAAGCAGGCUAUUACGCCUGAAUAUUCGUGCAUGGAAUAAUAGAAUAGGAAGUCGUUUCUAUUUUGUUGGUUUUCGGAAAUCGACUUAAUGAUUAAUAGGGACAGUCGGGGGCAUUUGUAUUCAAACGACAGAGGUGAAAUUCUUGGACCGUCUGAAGACAAACUACUGCGAAAGCAUUUGCCAAGAAUGUUUUCAUUAAUCAAGAACGAAAGUUAAAGGUUCGAAGGCGAUUAGAUACCGCCCUAGUUUUAACCAUAAACGAUGCCAGCUAGCGAUCUGCGGACGUUUUUUUUGUAGACUCCGCAGGAAGCUUCCGGGAAACCAAAGCAUUUGGGUUCCAGGGGAAGUAUGGUUGCAAAGCUGAAACUUAAAGGAAUUGACGGAAGGCACCACCAGGAGUGGAGCCUGUGGCUUAAUUUGACUCACACGGGAAAUCUCACCAGGCCCGGACACUGGAAGGAU